UAACUGACGCUGAUGGACGAAAGCGUGGGGAGCGAACAGGAUUAGAUACCCUGGUAGUCCACGCCGUAAACGAUGCUAACUCGUUUUUGGUUUUUCGGAAUCAGAGACUAAGCGAAAGUGAUAAGUUAGCCACCUGGGGAGUACGAACGCAAGUUUGAAACUCAAAGGAAUUGACGGGGGCCCGCACAAGCGGUGGAUUAUGUGGUUUAAUUCGAUGAUACGCGAGGAACCUUACCAAGACUUAAAUGGGAAUUGACAGAUUUAGAAAUAGAUCCUCCUUCGGGCAAUUUUCAAGGUGCUGCAUGGUUGUCGUCAGCUCGUGCCGUGAGGUGUUAGGUUAAGUCCUGCAACGAGCGCAACCCCUGUCACUAGUUGCCAUCAUUCAGUUGGGGACUCUAGUGAGACUGCCUACGCAAGUAGAGAGGAAGGUGGGGAUGACGUCAAAUCAUCACGGCCCUUACGUCUUGGGCCACACACGUAAUACAAUGGCCGGUACAGAGGGCAGCUACACAGCGAUGUGAUGCAAAUCUCGAAAGCCGGUCUCAGUUCGGAUUGGAGUCUGCAACUCGACUCUAUGAAGCUGGAAUCGCUAGUAAUCGCGCAUCAGCCAUGGCGCGGUGAAUACGUUCCCGGGCCUUGUACACACCGCCCGUCAAGCCAUGGAAGUCUGGGUACCUGAAGUCGUGACCUAACAGGAGCGCCUAGGGUAAACA
RNAcentral lists this ribosomal RNA (713 nucleotides) under uncultured bacterium. RNAcentral's name for it is "bacterial SSU rRNA". It matches the Rfam family "Bacterial small subunit ribosomal RNA", at positions 737 to 1468 of the family's 1533-position model. The record is from RNAcentral.